RNAcentral lists this ribosomal RNA (586 nucleotides) under uncultured bacterium. Its description in RNAcentral is "bacterial SSU rRNA". It matches the Rfam family "Bacterial small subunit ribosomal RNA", at positions 338 to 913 of the family's 1533-position model. The record is from RNAcentral.
CCUACGGGAGGCAGCAGUGGGGAAUUUUGGACAAUGGGCGCAAGCCUGAUCCAGCCAUGCCGCGUGUGGGAAGAAGGCCUUCGGGUUGUAAACCACUUUUGUCAGGGAAGAAACGGCUUUUUCUAAUACAGAGAGCUAAUGACGGUACCUGAAGAAUAAGCACCGGCUAACUACGUGCCAGCAGCCGCGGUAAUACGUAGGGUGCAAGCGUUAAUCGGAAUUACUGGGCGUAAAGCGUGCGCAGGCGGCUUUGCAAGACAGAUGUGAAAUCCCCGGGCUCAACCUGGGAACUGCAUUUGUGACUGCAUGGCUAGAGUACGGUAGGGGGGGUAUGGAAUUCCGCGUGUAGCAGUGAAAUGCGUAGAUAUGCGGAGGAACACCGAUGGCGAAGGGCAAUCCCCUGGACCUGUACUGACGCUCAUGCACGAAAGCGUGGGGGAGCAAACAGGAUUAGAUACCCUGGUAGUCCACGCCCUAAACGAUGUCAACUGGUUGUUGGACGGCUUGCUGUUCAGUAACGAAGCUAACGCGUGAAGUUGACCGCCUGGGGAGUACGGCCGCAAGGUUGAAACGUCAAAGGAAUUGA